RNAcentral lists this long non-coding RNA (244 nucleotides) under Capsicum annuum. Its description in RNAcentral is "long non-coding RNA (CANN_LNC013878)". The record is from RNAcentral. Lineage: Eukaryota; Viridiplantae; Streptophyta; Magnoliopsida; Solanales; Solanaceae.
GCUAACUUAGCCUCUCUUCUAGAUACCCUAUACUCCUCCUUAUUUUUCAUCCUCUCCUCACCAUCUUUGCUCUCAACUAACUUAGCAUAAGUUACCUUCUUAGACUCUACCUUCCUCUUAAUCUCUUCGUUCCACUACUAGUCUCCUCGAUGCUUGCUAGAUUAAUCUCUCGAGAUACCUAAUACCUCUCUAGCGUUCUCCCUAAUGUAACUCAUAGUAGUCUCCCACAUACUAUUCAUAUCCC